This 497-nucleotide ribosomal RNA is filed under the name uncultured bacterium. RNAcentral's name for it is "partial 16S ribosomal RNA". It matches the Rfam family "Bacterial small subunit ribosomal RNA", at positions 28 to 507 of the family's 1533-position model. The record is from RNAcentral.
GAUGAACGCUGGCGGCGUGCCUAAUACAUGCAAGUCGAGCGAACAGAUGAGGAGCUUGCUCCUCUGACGUUAGCGGCGGACGGGUGAGUAACACGUGGAUAACCUACCUAUAAGACUGGGAUAACUUCGGGAAACCGGAGCUAAUACCGGAUAAUAUAUUGAACCGCAUGGUUCAAUAGUGAAAGACGGUUUUGCUGUCACUUAUAGAUGGAUCCGCGCCGCAUUAGCUAGUUGGUAAGGUAACGGCUUACCAAGGCAACGAUGCGUAGCCGACCUGAGAGGGUGAUCGGCCACACUGGAACUGAGACACGGUCCAGACUCCUACGGGAGGCAGCAGUAGAGAAUCUUCCGCAAUGGGCGAAAGCCUGACGGAGCAACGCCGCGUGAGUGAUGAAGGUCUUCGGAUCGUAAAACUCUGUUAUUAGGGAAGAACAAAUGUGUAAGUAACUAUGCAUGUCUUGACGGUACCUAAUCAGAAAGCCACGGCUAACUACGUG